CUUUCUCUGAUACUUCUCCCAAGUCUGAUUGGUACACAUACCUUAAAGCAACCCACAUUGAGGCUUCUUGACAUAGAGUGAAUAUAAAGCUGGCUUUAGGCCUUUCUUACAUGUUCCUGUAAUAUAUAGUUGUUGAAAAAAUUUAAAUAAUGUCUCUGCUGCGCACCUAAUAGCUGGUGUCUGAGCAAAGUGUCUAAUCUGAAUGUAUCCCCCUAUGAAAUGUAUCCUCGUAUUUAAAACCUCAAAAGUGACCAUCUUUCCACCUGGCCAUAAAUGAUAUAAGGAUACCCACCCUCUCUAAAUUUUCAAAAUCAUGCAAUCUUAUGCCAGGGUAAACUACCUAUUUUGAAAAAAAAAAUUCAGCUUUUCCGAGAUAUAUAAUGAGUUUGAAAUGGCACAAUGUUCCUAAUGAUAUCCUAGAAGGUUUAUCAAGCCCAAUAUUAAGUGAUAAUGAGUCUGACCUCAACAGGUAUGAUUCUAUCUCUACCAGCGAUGUUCAGUAGGAUGGGUAUGCCACAUCACUAUUUGUGACAAUUGUGCUACGUAGUAGUAUAAAAGCAAGCUGGGAAGGCCUAAUUCUCCUCUAUUCCUAGGUCUAUAUAAAAUGUUAUUGGCCAACCUAUGGUGCUUAUUUUGCCACAUUUAUAGCCCUCUGCAAGCCAU
This is a non-coding RNA of Pelobates cultripes (western spadefoot toad), 663 nucleotides long. The record is from the annotation of a GenBank genome assembly. NCBI's taxonomy places the organism in Eukaryota, Metazoa, Chordata, Amphibia, Anura, Pelobatidae.